GAUGCUCCUGGGUCACCCCCAGCAGAUCCAUCUUCUAAAAUGAAGGGCAGCAGGAUGCCAAAGUCGCGUUGGGGGUGGUGGCAACCUACAGAAUCGAUGCUUGGAAAAUGCUGACAGGGCUACCAGCCAUCUGCCCUGUGGUUUGGGCCAGGGUGCCGUGAGAUGAUGCCUGGGAAACCUGCAGCCUAGGCAGUCCCUCAGUGAUGCGCAAAGCCCUCCAUCCCCGGAGCCGGCUCCACCUCUGGACUCUUCAGUUACUAUUUUUCAGGUAUCCAGGGACUUUUGCUUAACCACCAAGAACAUGUUUUUACUUGCUUGCAUUAUUACUCAUGUCCUGUUAAUACUGACUGAGCAUCCAACAACUGCAAAGACGAUGUGAGAAGGCGAUCAUCUCAUAAUUAGCCCCAUUUUACCACCAAGGAAAUGAAGGUGCGUGCUGUGAGGUUUUCACCCGGCAGGUACCACCCUAGUGAUGACGCUUCAAACCCAGGGAUGUGACCCCAACAGUCAGCCUGCCCACCAGGACCGUGUAGUUAUCAUCUGUUCCCACUUAAAAAAAAGAAUCAGUACUUUGGAGUCAAAGAUUUGAUUUUCAAGUUCCUGCUUUGACACCCCAGCAAGUCAGGUAACUUCUUGGAACCUCAGUCUCUUCACCUGUAAAAUGGGAAUAACGAUAUUACCUGCCUCAUAGACUUGUCAUGAAGAUUCACUGAAGCAAAGCCCAUAAGGUAUUGGGGAGCAUGUUGGG
Cervus elaphus (red deer) is the source of this 748-nucleotide long non-coding RNA. RefSeq lists it as uncharacterized. The transcript is spliced from 3 exons. The record is from RefSeq and is a predicted model, not a curated record. Lineage: Eukaryota; Metazoa; Chordata; Mammalia; Artiodactyla; Cervidae.